UUAUAUCUAAUUCCCGUUGGUCCAUUC
This 27-nucleotide non-coding RNA is filed under the name Bombyx mori (domestic silkworm). RNAcentral also lists the same sequence under 1 other name. The record is from RNAcentral. Lineage: Eukaryota; Metazoa; Arthropoda; Insecta; Lepidoptera; Bombycidae.